Molecule: ribosomal RNA, 460 nt
Filed under: uncultured bacterium
Lineage: Bacteria
Description: partial 16S ribosomal RNA
Rfam family: Bacterial small subunit ribosomal RNA
Source: RNAcentral
CCUACGGGCGGCUGCAGUGAGGAAUAUUGGUCAAUGGGCGGAAGCCUGAACCAGCCAAGUAGCGUGCGGGAUGAAGGCCCUACGGGUCGUAAACCGCUUUUGUACGGGGAUAACACCCUCCACUUGUGGAGGUCUGCAGGUACCGUGCGAAUAAGGGCCGGCUAAUUCCGUGCCAGCAGCCGCGGUAAUACGGAGGGCCCGAGCGUUAUCCGGAUUCAUUGGGCUUAAAGGGAGCGUAGGUGGGUUGUUAAGUCAGUUGUGAAAGGUUGGGGCUCAACCGUAGAAGUGCAAUUGAUACCGGCAGCCUUGAGUAGAGGUGAGGUAGGCGGAAUGCGUGGUGUAGCGGUGAAAUGCUUAGAUAUCACGAAGAACUCCGAUUGCGAAGGCAGCCUACUAAACUGCCACUGACAUUGAUGCACGAAAGUGUGGGUAUCGAACAGGAUUAGAUACCCCAGUAGUC